UACAUUUCGGUUAUGGUUUUC
RNAcentral lists this non-coding RNA (21 nucleotides) under Caenorhabditis elegans. The record is from RNAcentral. Lineage: Eukaryota; Metazoa; Nematoda; Chromadorea; Rhabditida; Rhabditidae.